UCGAAUGAUGAAAUGCACUGGGCUCUGAGAACUGUUUUGAUGGAAGUGCAUCUGCCUGGAAAGCAUUGUCUGACUU
This is a small nucleolar RNA of Nymphaea colorata (pocket water lily), 76 nucleotides long. Lineage: Eukaryota; Viridiplantae; Streptophyta; Magnoliopsida; Nymphaeales; Nymphaeaceae. The record is from RefSeq and is a predicted model, not a curated record.